This 488-nucleotide ribosomal RNA is filed under the name marine bacterium SIMO-1589. Its description in RNAcentral is "bacterial SSU rRNA". It matches the Rfam family "Bacterial small subunit ribosomal RNA", at positions 55 to 526 of the family's 1533-position model. Lineage: Bacteria; Bacillati; Bacillota; Bacilli; Caryophanales; Bacillaceae. The record is from RNAcentral.
GUGCAGUCGAGCGGACAGAAGGGAGCUUGCUCCCGGAUGUUAGCGGCGGACGGGUGAGUAACACGUGGGUAACCUGCCUGUAAGACUGGGAUAACUCCGGGCAAACCGGAGCUAAUACCGGAUAGUUCCUUGAACCGCAUGGUUCAAGGAUGAAAGACGGUUUCGGCUGUCACUUACAGAUGGACCCGCGGCGCAUUAGCUAGUUGGUGGGGUAAUGGCUCACCAAGGCGACGAUGCGUAGCCGACCUGAGAGGGUGAUCGGCCACACUGGGACUGAGACACGGCCCAGACUCCUACGGGAGGCAGCAGUAGGGAAUCUUCCGCAAUGGCCGAAAGUCUGACGGAGCAACGCCGCGUGAGUGAUGAAGGUUUUCGGAUCGUAAAGCUCUGUUGUUAGGGAAGAACAAGUGCGAGAGUAACUGCUCGCACCUUGACGGUACCUAACCAGAAAGCCACGGCUAACUACGUGCCAGCAGCCGCGGUAAUAC